RNAcentral lists this ribosomal RNA (660 nucleotides) under uncultured Gemmatimonas sp. Its description in RNAcentral is "bacterial SSU rRNA". It matches the Rfam family "Bacterial small subunit ribosomal RNA", at positions 258 to 903 of the family's 1533-position model. The record is from RNAcentral. Lineage: Bacteria; Pseudomonadati; Gemmatimonadota; Gemmatimonadia; Gemmatimonadales; Gemmatimonadaceae.
UAAUGGCCCACCAAGGCGGUGACGGGUAGCUGGUCUGAGAGGAUGGCCAGCCACAUUGGGACUGAGAGACGGCCCAGACUCCUACGGGAGGCAGCAGUGGGGAAUCUUGCGCAAUGGCCUAACGGCUGACGCAGUGACGCCGCGUGGGGGAGGAAGGGCUUCGGCUCGUAAACCCCUGUUGCCCGGGGCGAACAGCUUCUUUCGAGGAGCCUGACGGUACCGGGUGAGGAAGCACCGGCUAACUCCGUGCCAGCAGCCGCGGUAAUACGGAGGGUGCGAGCGUUGUCCGGAAUCACUGGGCGUAAAGGGCGCGUAGGCGGCCGAGCAAGGUCGCGGUGAAAGCCCGGGGCUCAACCCCGGGUCGGCCGUGGCAACUACUCGGCUCGAGCACUGUAGGGGCGGGUGGAAUUCCGGGUGUAGCGGUGGAAUGCGUAGAGAUCCGGAAGAACACCGGUGGCGAAGGCGGCCCGCUGGGCAGGAAGGGAGAGCAAUCUCCCGGCUGACGCUGAGGCGCGACAGCGUGGGGAGCAAACAGGAUUAGAUACCCUGGUAGUCCACGCCGUAAACGAUGGGCACUAGGUGCUUGGGGGAGCGACCCCCCGAGUGCCGGCGCUAACGCAUUAAGUGCCCCGCCUGGGGAGUACGGAAGCUUGGAAUUCG